This 414-nucleotide ribosomal RNA is filed under the name uncultured bacterium. RNAcentral's name for it is "bacterial SSU rRNA". It matches the Rfam family "Bacterial small subunit ribosomal RNA", at positions 48 to 507 of the family's 1533-position model. The record is from RNAcentral.
CUAAUACAUGCAAGUCGAACGAGAUCUUCGGAUCUAGUGGCGCACGGGUGCGUAACGCGUGGGAAUCUGCCCUUGGGUUCGGAAUAACUUCUGGAAACGGAAGCUAAUACCGGAUGAUGACGUAAGUCCAAAGAUUUAUCGCCCAAGGAUGAGCCCGCGUAGGAUUAGCUAGUUGGUGGGGUAAAGGCCCACCAAGGCGACGAUCCUUAGCUGGUCUGGGAGGAUGAUCAGCCACACUGGGACUGAGACACGGCCCAGACUCCUACGGGAGGCAGCAGUAGGGAAUAUUGGACAAUGGGCGAAAGCCUGAUCCAGCAACUGCCGCGUGAGUGAUGAAGGCCUUAGGGUUGUAAAGCUCUUUUACCCGGGAUGAUAAUGACAGUACCGGGAGAAUAAGCUCCGGCUAACUCCGUG